Molecule: ribosomal RNA, 356 nt
Filed under: uncultured bacterium
Lineage: Bacteria
Description: bacterial SSU rRNA
Rfam family: Bacterial small subunit ribosomal RNA
Source: RNAcentral
GGACCCGCACAAGUAGUGGAGCAUGUGGUUUAAUUCGAAGAUACGCGCAGAACCUUACCAACACUUGACAUGUUCGUCGCGACUUUAAGAGAUUAAAGUUUUCGGUUCGGCCGGACGAAACACAGGUGCUGCAUGGCUGUCGUCAGCUCGUGUCGUGAGAUGUUGGUUAAGUCCCGCAACGAGCGCAACCCUCACUUUUAGUUGCCAUCAUUUAGUUGGGCACUCUGAAAGAACUGCCAGUGAUAAGCUGGAGGAAGGUGGGGAUGACGUCAAGUCCUCAUGGCCCUUACGUGUUGGGCUACACACGUGCUACAAUGGUCGGUACAGAGAGCAGCCACUACGCGAGUAGGAGCGAA